ACGCGAGGAACCUUACCAGGUCUUGACAUCCCGGUGACCGCUCUGGAGACAGAGUUUUCCCUUUUAGGGACACCGGUGACAGGUGGUGCAUGGUUGUCGUCAGCUCGUGUCGUGAGAUGUUGGGUUAAGUCCCGCAACGAGCGCAACCCUUGAUCUUAGUUGCCAGCAUUAAGUUGGGCACUCUAAGGUGACUGCCGGUGACAAACCGGAGGAAGGUGGGGAUGACGUCAAAUCAUCAUGCCCCUUAUGACCUGGGCUACACACGUGCUACAAUGGAUGGUACAAAGGGCAGCAAAACCGCGAGGUCGAGCAAAUCCCAUAAAACCAUUCUCAGUUCGGAUUGUAGGCUGCAACUCGCCUACAUGAAGCUGGAAUCGCUAGUAAUCGCGGAUCAGCAUGCCGCGGUGAAUACGUUCCCGGGCCUUGCACACACCGCCCGU
This 440-nucleotide ribosomal RNA is filed under the name uncultured bacterium. RNAcentral's name for it is "bacterial SSU rRNA". It matches the Rfam family "Bacterial small subunit ribosomal RNA", at positions 959 to 1397 of the family's 1533-position model. The record is from RNAcentral.